This is a long non-coding RNA of Gallus gallus (chicken), 1457 nucleotides long. NCBI's taxonomy places the organism in Eukaryota, Metazoa, Chordata, Aves, Galliformes, Phasianidae. The record is from Ensembl.
AGACUCUCAAAGGAUGCUUUCAUUGGGAUGAGAAACUACACAUGAUUGAGUGCUCUUCUGUCCUGUCUUCUCUUGCUUUGCACAGUAUUUAACCUUCAGAUUUAGACUUUCUUAUGUUUUUCUUUUGAAGACCUUGUCUACAAUCAGAGUACAAAAAUGCACGAAGCAGAGUGGUGAAGGGACUGGUGAGACUGAUUGAUGCAGAAGUCUGGUUUUGAAGAGGGAAGGAGGGAGAGAGAUUCCUUUAAUUGUGCUUAAAAGAAGCAAACUUAAAAACAAGACAGGAAAGUUGAGUGGAAGCUGAGAGGUUGAAUGCAAACUCUGCCAAGAUUUGAAAAGUUACAAGUUAAUGCUGAGAUCUUUCUCAACUGAACUCCAGAAGAUGUCUGGUUAAGUUCUGCCUACUAUCCUCUGAACAAGCAAGCAAAACAAGCAGGAUUCUGAAAGAAGGGAACAUCUAUGAUGUAGGGAGAUAAAAAGUAGCUUACAGAAAUGGCAUCCAGAAACAGAGAUACUCCUGGAGACCUACAUUGCCCUGACACUUCAGACAUCUCACUGUUGCUUUAACCCACGUUGCUGUGAGCAAUUUGGAGGCACGGCCACUGAGAAGACUUUGCAGAGCAUCUUGUUGCCGCUUAUAUUUCUGGCACCAGCUCUUACAAACACUGCCAGCUGGAUUUUAUGACACGUCAUUGAGGGGCUGCCAGCAGUCAGGUCACAGUGCCAUAGACCUCCAGAUGGAAAAACUGCCUAUCUUCAGCUCUGCAGACAUGAAAAAGUGCAAGUGGGAAAUGCUCACCUAAUGUACAAAAGUAACGUCUAAUAGCUGGAGAAGGUCUGAAGAUCCUGUCAACUGCAGGUUAGAGAUGGUUAUCUCUGGGAGGACAUUCCUCAUCUUUUCCAUAUGUUCAAAAUAAACUGUCUUCUGUGAUUCCGAAGCUCCCUUGGCAGGAGAGGAGAAGUGUUGAAAUAUCGUAUUUCACAAUUUUCCAGACCAAAUGCUAACUUAUCUGAACGAUACAUUGCUGUAUGAUUCAGUAAAUAAGCUCCCCAGUCCUCUGGAAGUAGAUAAUAACUUUAAGUUUUCAUUGCUUUAUAGUCAAAGAGGUAUCUCUCAGUUAUCAUAAACGUUGAGCAAACAGUGAUAUGGAGCCAAGGAUCUUUUUUUUUGCUUGUAGAGAAUAUUUUCAUUUCUGUGCCUCGUUGAAGGCAGCCAAUUAUUCCCCUCUCAUCUGUAUAGUGAUCGACAACUAACUGAAACAUUUUGAUGUUAUAGUGGAUGAGACAUCACCGACUACAAGAAAAAGCUGUUCUUUUAAACAAAGCUUUAACUUCUAUGUUGUUUGAAAAAAUAAAGCAGUAAGAAUGGCAGCGCUUGAUACUGGUACUGUGCAGAAGCUUUUGUCCUACCAUGUUACGUGUGAUUGUAAUUCUGAGUAAUUCUUGGGGGAUCACGU